GUUGUUGUGGCUGAGUGGUUAAGGUGAUGGAAUAGAAAUCCAUUGGGGUUUACCUGCGAAGGUUCGAAUCCUGCCUACAAUG
Molecule: non-coding RNA, 82 nt
Organism: Boleophthalmus pectinirostris (great blue-spotted mudskipper)
Lineage: Eukaryota; Metazoa; Chordata; Actinopteri; Gobiiformes; Gobiidae
Source: the annotation of a RefSeq genome assembly